CCGCUGACGCCAACCACGCAUGUUCUGCUGCUAAGGCGACAUCCAACACGACAGGACCAGCAGAGUCCGGGAAGCCUCGUUGCUCCGUGAGAAAGGCGCCAGGCGUGGACAUCAAUGUACAAGCCUGCGGGGAUCAGGAUCUGCAGCUGACCUGCAUCCGAGAGAUGAAGGUGCCUGUGCUGACGGUGGUCUUGGCUGAGUGCUGGGGC
Hyalella azteca is the source of this 209-nucleotide long non-coding RNA. RefSeq lists it as uncharacterized. NCBI's taxonomy places the organism in Eukaryota, Metazoa, Arthropoda, Malacostraca, Amphipoda, Hyalellidae. The transcript is spliced from 3 exons. The record is from RefSeq and is a predicted model, not a curated record.